Apodemus sylvaticus (European woodmouse) is the source of this 890-nucleotide long non-coding RNA. RefSeq lists it as uncharacterized. The transcript is spliced from 3 exons. NCBI's taxonomy places the organism in Eukaryota, Metazoa, Chordata, Mammalia, Rodentia, Muridae. The record is from RefSeq and is a predicted model, not a curated record.
UUCACCUUGCUCCUGCCUGCAUAAUUCCAGCUGCCACUCUGACCGGGCUGCCAGUUUCACCUGCCCAAGCCUGCUUCCUUCUUUUACCCCAACAGGAAGACGUCUACUUCCUCUUGGAAACCCCCUUGAUUGAUUUCCUCCUUCUUGAUGGUCCCCAACACCUUCCGGUAGAGAUCACUUUUCUCAACUGGACUCCAAAAGAAGUUCACUACCAGGAUAAAUUCAAAGAUACAAACUAAGCACACCUGCCAGCUAAACCCAGGGACUCCCUCCAGGGGCUUUGCCUGCACGGAGUCAUCCAGAUGUGCCACCGAGGGCCAAAGAGAUGGCUCAGUGGGUAAAGUCACGCCACUGAGCACGACAACCUGGAUCUGAUCCCUGGGACCCACAGGAGGAAAAGGGAGAACCACACAGGAAUGCUCCGGGAGGUUGAGGGAGACAUAGAAAAGCACAGCACGUAUCCCAAGAGUCAUGGAGAGAAUCAGAGAGCGCAGUGUGCUGUUCCCGAAGGCUGGUGAUGUACUCCUGCCCUCUCAGCCUCCUCCCAUCCGUGUGAUACCUGGAUACAUCCAUCAGCCGAGGCUCAUUGUCACAGGACCGCUCAGCCUCAGUUUCAUCUGUGCGAGCAGAGCAGGGACCGGGAUGGUGGAGACGGACAACAUCCUUGCUAACUGACAGUACCUCUGCCCCAGGAGCCCUCAUGAAGGGCAGCCGUUAACGUGAAGGGGACCGUGUCCUGCACAGUGUCCUCGGAACCCCGAGGAAGCCGAUGACAUACUGGAGUGUGGACGUUAAUGCAAUCGUUGGAUAAUUCAAUCACUUUAUAGAAGUUGAUCUGUCCUUUUUAUUACAAUUACUGUCGGCUGGGGUGUUUCGUUCCAUCAUUGAAA